RNAcentral lists this ribosomal RNA (253 nucleotides) under uncultured bacterium. RNAcentral describes it as "partial 16S ribosomal RNA". It matches the Rfam family "Bacterial small subunit ribosomal RNA", at positions 524 to 776 of the family's 1533-position model. The record is from RNAcentral.
UACUUCGGGACCAAGCGUUGCUCGGAAUUAUUGGGCGUAAAGCGCGCGUAGGCGGCUUGGCAAGUCGGAUGUGAAAUCCCUUGGCUCAACCAAGGAAGUGCAUCCGAAACUGCCGAGCUUGAGUACUUAAGAGGAUCGCGGAAUUCCCGGUGUAGAGGUGAAAUUCGUAGAUAUCGGGAGGAACACCAGUGGCGAAGGCGGCGAUCUGGGAAGAUACUGACGCUGAGGUGCGAAAGCGUGGGGAGCAAACAGG